This 3979-nucleotide long non-coding RNA is filed under the name Brassica napus (rape). RNAcentral's name for it is "long non-coding RNA (BNAP_LNC025145)". Lineage: Eukaryota; Viridiplantae; Streptophyta; Magnoliopsida; Brassicales; Brassicaceae. The record is from RNAcentral.
CUGAGGUGUCGAGAGGAGCUGGGAAUGUGACACGUCAUCCAGAUUUUACGCGGGAGUCAGUGCUAAUCUCACCGGCCGUGCUGAAAGUACCUCAGGGUGGGCCCAAGGUGACGUUCAACGAGAACGAGCCGUUACGGGAGCGGAUUUUCAGUUUCAGCAGGGAGCAGAUUCUCGAGCUGAAAGCUAUGGUGAACAAGAGGAGAACCUGGACGGUGGAUAACGGCGUUGAGGUGUUGGGGAAGCAGAGCAACGACAAAAUUAACGGAAAAGAGAACGGUAAACUAACGGAAAUGUUGGAGAGUUUGUUACUGCGAAACGACGCCGUUUCGAAGACAGGGAACAAGCUGGAGAUCUCGUCGUUUCAGUCUCUAUCCGCUUUGCUCUGGCGAGCGAUCACUCGAGCGAGGAAGCUUCCGAGCACCAAAACGACGACGUUUCGCAUGGCUGUCAACGUUCGCCACCGUCUGAGCCCGAAACUGGAUCCGGAGUACUUCGGAAACGCGAUCCAGAGCGUUCCGACGUUCGCGACGGCGGGAGAGGUUCUCUCUCGGGAUAUACGGUGGUCCGCGUUCUGUAUUAUGUAUUUUUACAUGUUAUAAAAUAAUAAAUAUAUAUUGAAUAAUUAAAAGUUAGUAACUAUUACAUAUACAACUAAAUUAGUGUGAACAUAUAAAUCAAUUUUAUUAAUCCAAACAAUAAUUUUUUCUACCUGAUAGGCUAUUAAAAAUAAAUUUAAAUGAUAUUAACAUAUAUAGUAUAUUUUUAAUAUAAAUGUCUAUUAAAUGAUGAUUUCUACUCAUAUGUUUUUUUUUAUCAUUUGAUCUUUUACAGCAAAAACUUUAAAUUACUAACAAAUUUUUUUAUUGUCGGAUUAAUAGUUUUAGUAAUUUAUAAUUUUUAUAAAAUUAAGUUGUCAAUUUUUGUUCAAAGCUUUUAUCAAAAAUAAUUGUUCAAAGUAAAGUUGAAUGUGAGACUUUUAAUAAUUUUAGUAAUUUAUAGUCAUUUUAAAAAAUUCAAAAUAUAACAUAUAUAAAAAAAUUUAAAUUUUUAUUAUAUGGUUAAUGUGAUUGUUUAAUUUAUUUUAAUAGUUUAAAAUUAAACAAAUAUGAUAGAAUAUACACUAAUUUUUAUCAAAUCUUUAUUAUUCAAAAUCAUUAAUUGACAUAUAUACUUUAGCCACAUUAGGCAAUUCUGUCACUUUUAUUUAAGGAAAUAAUUAAGAACAUUAAUAUUAAAUUUAUGGUUAGUUUAAUAAAAAUCUUAUUAUAUAAUUAGAUGGACUAACCCAUUUCUCUAUUGAUUCUAAGAAUCAUCCUAUUGAUGACACGUGGCUACAAAAAGAAGUUGUAAUGUUUCUCAAUUAAUAUAUAUAUAGGAGAUUGUAUUCAAAAAAUCUAGACUGAAUCGGUAAUAUAGUUAGUUUUUGUACAAAUAUCUGAAUUCGUUUCAGAUACAUUUGUUAUUUAGAUUUUUAGGUUCAUACACAUCAAAACAGAACUCAUCCAUACCUUGAAAAACCUAACUCAAGAUCCACAUGAAUUUUAUAAUAUUCAAACAAAGCUAAAUUUAAAAAAAAAAAACGAUACCCAAAUUUUUUUUUCAUGUUUAACUGAUUUUAUAAACUAAUAAAAAAGUUUUUUUCUAUGUAUUUGGUAAAAUUAAGUGAAAUAUAAAUUAUUUAGUAUAAUAAUUAUAUAUGUUUUUAAAUAAUUUUCAUUUAUACUGCUAUUAAUAUUUUCAAACAAUACCAAAAAAUAUUUCAAUUGUUAUUAUAUAGAUAUCAUCUCGUGAUGAUUAAUUGACUAUACUCUUUACACUAAUAUCUCUAAAAUACGUCUCGUUACUUGUUUCUACGUACGUUGGAUUAUUGAGAUUUAUGGAGAGAUAUCUUUUGAACUAGUGUUUAAAAACCUGAUUAAAAUCAGUACUGGGAUGUAAUAUAUGUUAACCGCAAUUCUCAAGCCUGUCUCACAGUUGUCAGUUGAAUGAAAAUGGCUUUCAGUAAUAUCCAUAUACAAAUUGCUAAUUAACACAAUUCACUUUACAUAAAAUCAUUGCAAGUGUUUUUAAUCACUAUAUUUUCACGAAAUAUAGAAAUUUGAUUCAAAAAGAGUUAAUGUCUUGUUUUAAAACAACUGAAGUUAUUUAAAACCAACUAUAUAAUUUAUAAGAAAUAUCAAUUUACAACAAAUAAUUUAAACUGACAUCAGUAUCACUAAAACUAGACUCAUUUUUUUAAACAUAUGAUAUACUCAAAAGUUAUAUACUCUCUCUGUUUCAUUUUUUUUUAACGCAAUACUCAUUCCGUUUCAUAAAGUUACGUAUUCUAAAAAAAAUUAUUUAAAAAAUAUAGCUUUUGCAUUAAUGCAUGUUUUAUUAACUAAAUGCAAAUUUCAAAAAACUUAAUUGCACUUAUUGAAUUUUUAUUGGCUUAAAAUUAUAGAAAAAAUAAACACAUAAAAUUAUGCAAAUUUAAUGUGUUCUAUUAAAAUGUGUGAAAAAUCUAAAAUAUGUAACAUUUUGAAACAAAUGGAGUAUAUAAAUAUCAAAAUUAUAUAUUCAAAGAUAAUAUCAACAAAUUUGAACUUUCCAAGUUAUCCUUUAAAUGUGGUUUAAAACCACUGCUUAAAACCAGUGGUGAUCAUUACAAACUGAAGAGUAACGAGUGAAACAUAUAAGCCAAAAAUUGAAUAGUGGUCCAUCAUCUUAUCUUAGCUAAUAAACUCUUAUCUUAGAAUGUAUAUUAACCAAUAAUUUCUUACAAUUUAUCUGUUCAUAUUCACUCUAAAUUCACCUAACACACACUCAUCCGUUAUGUGUCUCCACACCCUUUUAUACAAACAAAACAAAAAGAUCAAAUUAUCAAACACAUUCAGAAAUAAGGAAACAGUUUCCUAAAGCACAGGGGCUCCAUUUCAAUAAUAACUAUUAAAAAAAAAAUGAAAUAAAGACACAUCAUCAUCUGAUUCAUGAACCUCUUCUCUCCAUCCUCCAACUAUAAAUACAUCGUCUCUACACAUUCUCUUCUCUCAUCGCUCUCAUUAGCAAUCACACACGAUCAACACACUCAGAGCUUAAAAACAGAGUAAGCAAAAAUGCCUUCUCUUGAGAACUCUGUAACUGUAAUCUCAAGGAGCAGAGUCUUCCCUGACCAAAAGUCAACCCUCGUUGACCUCAAACUCUCCGUCUCCGACCUCCCCAUGCUCUCUUGCCACUACAUCCAGAAAGGCUGCCUCUUCACGCGCCCUCACCUUCCUCCGCACGCGCUUCUCUCUCACCUUAAACACUCCCUCUCUCUAACCCUCUCCCACUUCCCUCCACUCGCCGGCCGCCUCUCCACCUCCGAAGACGGCCACGUCUUCCUCUCCUGCAACGACGCCGGAGCAGAUUUCGUCUCCGCCGCCGCGAAAUCCGUCCGCGUCAGCGACGUGAUCGAGGGAAUCGACGUUCCGGACGUCGUCAAGGAGUUUUUCACUUACGACAGGACGGUGAGCUACGAGGGGCAUAACAGACCGAUCCUAGCCGUUCAAGUGACUGAACUAAACGACGGUGUUUUCAUCGGCUGCUCCGUUAACCACUCCGUCACUGACGGAACGUCGCUGUGGAAUUUCAUUAACACGUUCGCUGAGGUGUCGAGAGGAGCUGGGAAUGUGACACGUCAUCCAGAUUUUACGCGGGAGUCAGUGCUAAUCUCACCGGCCGUGCUGAAAGUACCUCAGGGUGGGCCCAAGGUGACGUUCAACGAGAACGAGCCGUUACGGGAGCGGAUUUUCAGUUUCAGCAGGGAGCAGAUUCUCGAGCUGAAAGCUAUGGUGAACAAGAGGAGAACCUGGACGGUGGAUAACGGCGUUGAGGUGUUGGGGAAGCAGAGCAACGACAAAAUUAACGGAAAAGAGAACGGUAAACUAACGGAAAUGUUGGAGAGUUUGUUACUGCGAAACGACGCCGUUUCGAAGACAGGGAACAAGCUGGAGAUCUC